GUAGGAUAGAGGCCUACCAUGGUGGUAACGGGUAACGGGGUGUUAGGGCACGACACCGGAGAGGGAGCCUGAGAAACGGCUACCACAUCCAAGGAUGGCAGCAGGCGCGCAAAUUACCCAAUCCCGACACGGGGAGGCAGUGACAAUAAAUAACAAUACGGGGUUCUUUAGGAUCUCGUAAUUGGAAUGAGUACAAUUUAAAUCUCUUAACGAGGAACAAUUGGAGGGCAAGUCUGGUGCCAGCAGCCGCGGUAAUUCCAGCUCCAAUAGCGUAUAUUAAAGUUGUUGCAGUUAAAAAGCUCGUAGUUGAAUUUCGGGGUUAGUAGGUUGGUCAUGCCUCUGGUAUGUACUGGUCUCACUGAUUCCUCCUUCCUGAUGAACUUUAAUGCCAUUAAUUUGGUGUUUUGGGGAAUUUGGACUGUUACUUUGAAAAAAUUAGAGUGUUUAAAGCAAGCUAACGCUUGAAUACAUUAGCAUGGAAUAAUGAAAUAGGACGUUUGACCCUAUUUUGUUGGUUUCUAGGAUUGACGUAAUGAUUAAUAGGGAUAGUUGGGGGCAUUAGUAUUCAAUUGUCAGAGGUGAAAUUCUUGGAUUUAUUGAAGACUAACUACUGCGAAAGCAUUUGCCAAGGAUGUUUUCAUUAAUCAAGAACGAAAGUUAGGGGAUCGAAGACGAUCAGAUACCGUCGUAGUCUUAACCAUAAACUAUGCCGACUAGGGAUCGGAUGAUGUUAAUUUUUUAAUGACUCAUUCGGCGCCUUACGGGAAACCAA
RNAcentral lists this ribosomal RNA (772 nucleotides) under uncultured Glomeromycotina. Its description in RNAcentral is "SSU rRNA". It matches the Rfam family "Eukaryotic small subunit ribosomal RNA", at positions 328 to 1101 of the family's 1831-position model. The record is from RNAcentral. Lineage: Eukaryota; Fungi; Glomeromycota.